Molecule: transfer RNA, 66 nt
Filed under: human gut metagenome
Also listed under: 2 other names
Rfam family: tRNA
About the family: Transfer RNA (tRNA) molecules are approximately 80 nucleotides in length.
Source: RNAcentral
CGGGUAGUUCAGCUGGUUAGAACGCUAGCCUGUCACGCUAGAGGUCGUGGGUUCGAACCCCAUCUC